CCCUACAUACAUUAACAUGGAAUUGGCUUAAACUUAGUAUUUGUGUUAUACAUAACAAGGUAAAUAAUGGGAGUUAAGUCAGCUUCUAAAAUGUAUAUAACUUAAAGUGAUCUCUCGUACGCAAUGUAAUAUUAAGACGAAUUUUAUUAUAAGUAAUAAUUUUACCUAAUUAGCUAAUCUAUCAGAUACUAUGAAAACUUAGUUAACCUUCAGUUAACAACAGCAAAAAUAGUUUUGGUAUAAAUCAUGUCCGCGUGGAAUCGUGCCAAGAAUGCUGGCAGCAUCUCCCCGUUGAAUCGCUAUACCGGCCCUCUCACCAGUCCUCUUAUCACCAGUGGAGGUAAAAAUUCUUAGCACUGCUACUCCAAGAUCCAAGUGUCGACUGCAAACGGCAUAAAGAUGUAAUUAUACGUUUAAUUAAAAUGUACGUAUUGUAUAUAAUUAAUAUGUCACGGUUUCGAUUUGUAAAAAUAUUUGUUUCCGGUCUUGAUGUGUGUUCUUGUGGGUCUCCGCAUCCUGCCUCGGAGAGUAUGCAUCUCUUGUCAUUUUUUUCUCACCAAAUUGUACAUAAACUGUCAUUGUAACAACUUUUUGUUUAAUUUUAUUUCUGAUCUGUUGUUUUUUUUUUCUCUUUUUUUUUUACUACGUAAAAGUGUUUGAUUAUAUGUAUGCAAGAAGUAAUAAAGAAAUAAAUAAAUAAACAUUCUUACAUUUCUAUUUCCGGUGUUUUUUUG
Molecule: unclassified non-coding RNA, 734 nt
Filed under: Melitaea cinxia (Glanville fritillary)
Lineage: Eukaryota; Metazoa; Arthropoda; Insecta; Lepidoptera; Nymphalidae
Description: misc RNA ENSMCXG00005010829.1
Source: RNAcentral